UCUCCGUAGGUGAACCUGCGGAGGGAUCACUACAGGCUAGCGAAAGAUCUGAAACCACUGUUUAUCUACCUGAAUCUGCUUCCGCGUGCGGCCCCAGAGCGGGGCCGUAGCCGCAAGGCGCCCGCCGAAGACCCCUAAACUCUGUCGUUUUGAGAAUCUCUGAGUAAUAAUAUUAAACAAAAACAACUUUCAACAACGGAUCUCUUGGCUCUG
RNAcentral lists this unclassified non-coding RNA (213 nucleotides) under plant metagenome. Its description in RNAcentral is "partial contains small subunit ribosomal RNA, internal transcribed spacer 1, and 5.8S ribosomal RNA". The record is from RNAcentral.